This 330-nucleotide long non-coding RNA is filed under the name Cyanistes caeruleus (blue tit). Its description in RNAcentral is "lncRNA (ENSCCEG00000024246.1)". Lineage: Eukaryota; Metazoa; Chordata; Aves; Passeriformes; Paridae. The record is from RNAcentral.
GCAGGAUUCUGACUCCCAUCUCCAUCUGUUCUCAGGCAGGCAUUCAGAGCUGUCCUUGGCAAACUGUUGGCUACAGCUUGAGUCAAGGACAUUGUAGGCCCUUUCUAUCCCUUAUAGACAACAGGAUCUGAAGAAUCAGCAGCACUUCAUGGGAGACCUCACUGCCUUUGCCAUCGUGUCCCUGUCAGAAGUGCUGAGCCAUUUAGAAAACUGUCUGAAGACCCAUUAAAGAAGCCAAUGCAUCUCCAUGUGUCCCACGGAUGAAGGCAGAAGUAAAGCACAGCUAACGGCACCAAAAUUGCAGCCUCUCUCGCCACCCCUUUUGUGUGA